This is an RNA transcript of Pyrus x bretschneideri (Chinese white pear), 2054 nucleotides long. It is a transcript of the gene named mitochondrial carrier protein CoAc1, with no coding region annotated. The record is from RefSeq and is a predicted model, not a curated record. Lineage: Eukaryota; Viridiplantae; Streptophyta; Magnoliopsida; Rosales; Rosaceae. The transcript is spliced from 7 exons.
GAGAGAGAGGUACGUAACUGUCGAAAGAAGAUUCAGAGAAAGUCCGAGGAAACCUCUCCGUCUCCUUCCUUCUUCCGAGAGGAGAACGGGCACUUCAUUCAUUCAUUUGGAACGUCAUUUGACCAUAAAAAAACAUCAUAUGUUUUGGCUAAAUUCCAAAUCUUUGGUGCCCGUUCUCCUCUCUGACCCAAAUCCAAUUCCAAUUCCUGGUGGGGUUUUCAAUUUCCUCUUCGAUUCCUUUUCCUCCACUUCCGGUUCAAACAAAACCCACAAAUCUGAUUCCUUUUUUACAACCAAAGGCUGCAGCUUUCGAUUGGAGGGAAUUUUGGGUCGGUUACCAGAGGAGAAACCUUUGAUGGGUUGUGUGUGAUUUUCGAUUUCGUUCAUGUUUUGUGAGUGUUUGAUUUUAGGAGUUUUCGAUAGUUUUCGGGUCGGUUUUAUAUGGGUGUUUGAUGGGUUUGUGAUUGAUUUACUUGAGCAUUGCUGUAAUAAUUGGAGAAUUUGAGUGUUUCCGUGGUGUGGUUGCUCGGUCAGAUUGGUAUCCUUGAAUGUAUCUUGCUAUCAGUGCGGUGGAGGAUCGGCUUCUGAGUGUGCCCGACUCGAAUCUGGGUGUUCUCAGGCCAUUUUACCUGCCCAUUGAGCAAAAGGCCGUCAAUUUUUGUUUUCCGAGAGAUAGAUGGGAUAAGGAGUUCUUCAAGUUGCAGAGCGGAUAAUAAAUUACUUGUCGAAUUUACGACAUUUUUGGCUUUGGUGGUCGUUUUGUUUCGAGAAAUUUGAGAUGGGUUCGACGCAGAGAUCGACCUUGUCAACAAAUGUGGCGGAAUUGGUUGAUGCUUCGCAAUCAGCCCGCCAAGAGGUUUCGUACAUUGGUAGUAUGCCGGUUUAUGUUAGGGAGUUGAUUGCCGGAGGCGCUGCUGGAGGAUUCGCGAAGACUGCGGUUGCGCCGCUGGAAAGGACCAAGAUACUCUUGCAGACAAGAACAGAGUUCCGUUCUCUCGGAGUGUGUCAAUCUCUGAAGAAGUUAUUUCAGCAUGAAGGUGUUCGAGGAUUCUACAAAGGAAAUGGAGCUAGUGUCGUUCGAAUUAUUCCCUAUGCAGCCUUACAUUACAUGACAUAUGAGCAGUACAGGUGUUGGAUCUUGAACAAUUAUUCUGCUUUAGGUUCAGGGCCUCAUAUUGAUCUUUUAGCCGGUGCAGCAGCUGGAGGGACAGCCGUUUUAUGCACGUACCCCUUGGACCUUGCUCGCACCAAACUUGCUUAUCAGGUUGUUAAUACUAGAGGCAACUUUGAUUAUGGUAUGAAAGGCGCACAUGCUCAAGUUGCUUAUAAGGGCAUAAAGGACGUGCUUUCAAGUGUUUACAAGGAGGGGGGCUUGCGUGGGCUUUAUCGAGGUGUAGGCCCAACACUCACUGGAAUACUCCCUUAUGCUGGUUUAAAGUUCUAUAUAUAUGAGGAACUUAAACUCCAUGUUCCUGAAGAGUAUGAAAAGUCCAUUGUGAUGCGUCUUUCCUGUGGAGCUUUGGCCGGGUUAUUUGGGCAAACUCUGACAUACCCCUUGGAUGUCGUUAGGAGGCAAAUGCAGGUUGAGAAUUUGCGGUCUUCAGAUCAUGGCGGUGUUAGGUACAGAAACACAAUGGCGGGUCUUAAAUAUAUCAUCCGAAACCAAGGAUGGAAAAAGUUGUUUUCAGGCCUAAGCAUUAAUUAUAUCAAGGUAAUUUCUCAUUCUCUGUGUCAAAUUAAUAGACUGAAUUUCAGACACGAUUGAGUGUCUGUAUUUGCAAGGAUAAGCUCGUGUUUCUGGGGCCCUGCUGAUACUUCGAAUCGUUCCUUCUGUGGCAAUCGGUUUCACUGCAUACGACACGAUGAAGGUUUGGCUCCACAUUCCGCCCCAUCGGAAGUCCAGUCAAUAACUGCUGCUGCAUGACUGGAAAUUCAGAAUGUGUUAACUUACAAAUUCCACCCAAUAGUUAGAAUUUGAUGCUAAUACAUACAUUGUAUCUCUCUUAAUAACAAGAGAUGAUUGUGCCAUCGUUAUUGAAAAUUAAGUUUCUGCA